Molecule: ribosomal RNA, 889 nt
Filed under: uncultured bacterium
Lineage: Bacteria
Description: bacterial SSU rRNA
Rfam family: Bacterial small subunit ribosomal RNA
Source: RNAcentral
GAUCCUGGCUCAGGAUGAACGCUAGCUACAGGCUUAACACAUGCAAGUCGAGGGGCAGCGGUAUCGAAAGCUUGCUUUCGGUAGCCGGCGACCGGCGCACGGGUGAGUAACGCGUAUCGAACCUACCUCAUACUCGGGAAUAGCCUUGCGAAAGUAAGAUUAAUGCCCGGUGUUUUCAGAGUCCCCGCAUGAGGCUUUGAACAAAGAUUUAUCGGUAUGAGAUGGCGAUGCGUCCCAUUAGCUUGUUGGCGGGGUAACGGCCCACCAAGGCAUCGAUGGGUAGGGGUUCUGAGAGGAAGGUCCCCCACAUUGGAACUGAGACACGGUCCAAACUCCUACGGGAGGCAGCAGUGAGGAAUAUUGGUCAAUGGGCGGAAGCCUGAACCAGCCAAGUAGCGUGCAGGAAGACGGCCCUCCGGGUUGUAAACUGCUUUUAGUUGGGAAUAAAACGGGGCUCGUGAGCUCCCUUGCAUGUACCAUCAGAAAAAGGACCGGCUAAUUCCGUGCCAGCAGCCGCGGUAAUACGGAAGGUCCGGGCGUUAUCCGGAUUUAUUGGGUUUAAAGGGAGCGCAGGCGGACCUUUAAGUCAGCUGUGAAAUACGGCGGCUCAACCGUCGAACUGCAGUUGAUACUGGAGGUCUUGAGUGCGCACAGGGAUGCUGGAAUUCAUGGUGUAGCGGUGAAAUGCUCAGAUAUCAUGAAGAACUCCGAUCGCGAAGGCAGGCAUCCGGGGUGCAACUGACGCUGAGGCUCGAAAGUGCGGGUAUCAAACAGGAUUAGAUACCCUGGUAGUCCGCACAGUAAACGAUGAAUACUCGCGGUUUGCGAUACAGUGUAAGCCGCCAAGCGAAAGCGUUAAGUAUUCCACCUGGGGAGUACGCCGGCAACG